AGAUUGAACGCUGGCGGCAUGCUUUACACAUGCAAGUCGAACGGCAGCGCGGGGCAACCUGGCGGCGAGUGGCGAACGGGUGAGUAAUAUAUCGGAACGUACCCAAGAGUGGGGGAUAACGUAGCGAAAGUUACGCUAAUACCGCAUACGAUCUAAGGAUGAAAGCAGGGGACCGCAAGGCCUUGUGCUCCUGGAGCGGCCGAUAUCUGAUUAGCUAGUUGGUAGGGUAAAGCCUACCAAGGCUACGAUCAGUAGCUGGUCUGAGAGGACGACCAGCCACACUGGAACUGAGACACGGUCCAGACUCCGUACGGAGGCAGCAGGUGGGUAAUUUGGACUAAGUGGGCGACAACGCCUAGAGUCCAGACAAUGCCGCGUGAGUACGAAGAACGGUCCGUU
RNAcentral lists this ribosomal RNA (399 nucleotides) under uncultured soil bacterium. RNAcentral's name for it is "bacterial SSU rRNA". It matches the Rfam family "Bacterial small subunit ribosomal RNA", at positions 26 to 423 of the family's 1533-position model. The record is from RNAcentral.